Non-coding RNA from Podarcis lilfordi (Lilford's wall lizard), 69 nucleotides. Lineage: Eukaryota; Metazoa; Chordata; Lepidosauria; Squamata; Lacertidae. The record is from the annotation of a GenBank genome assembly.
GCCAAAGCUGAGUGGCAGAGCAUCCGUCUCACAUGCGGAAGGUCCUUGGUUCAAUCCCCAGCAUCUCCA